Molecule: ribosomal RNA, 253 nt
Filed under: uncultured bacterium
Lineage: Bacteria
Description: partial 16S ribosomal RNA
Rfam family: Bacterial small subunit ribosomal RNA
Source: RNAcentral
GACGAAGGUGGCAAGCGUUGUUCGGAAUCACUGGGCUUAAAGCGCACGUAGGCGGCCUAUCAAGCGUCCUGUGAAAGCCCCCGGCUCAACCGGGGAACUGCAGGGCGAACUGGCAGGCUUGAGGCAGGUAGAGGCGAGUGGAACUCUUGGUGGAGCGGUGGAAUGCGUAGAUAUCAAGAGGAACGCCGGUGGCGAAAGCGACUCGCUGGGCCUGACCUGACGCUCAGGUGCGAAAGCCAGGGGAGCAAACGGG